RNAcentral lists this long non-coding RNA (319 nucleotides) under Gossypium barbadense (sea-island cotton). RNAcentral describes it as "long non-coding RNA (GBAR_LNC001418)". The record is from RNAcentral. Lineage: Eukaryota; Viridiplantae; Streptophyta; Magnoliopsida; Malvales; Malvaceae.
UUUGAAUCUCAUAAGGUGAUGGGGAUUGGAAAUAAAUUGAGCUCCUCGACGAUGCCUCAUGCAGUCCCUCCAACGACGAUAGCUUAUAUAUCGUCGGUUGACUCAGAGUCAUCGGGAAAUGAGAUACACCAGGCCAUCGAUUCCAAUCUUGUAUAGGAGUGGAAAAAGGAAACAUUUGAGGGUUAGGAUACACACCUGACAUAAUUUGAAGGGGAUGUGGUGUGGGAAUCAUCGCUUGCGCCAUUAGGGUCGGUAAUUACGUGGGUGCUGUUGAUGGGCCCGCUUCGUCAGCCUUUAUCCUUUGAUUUAAAGGACUCCG